RNAcentral lists this ribosomal RNA (596 nucleotides) under Phormidium boryanum BDU 92181. RNAcentral's name for it is "bacterial SSU rRNA". It matches the Rfam family "Bacterial small subunit ribosomal RNA", at positions 36 to 678 of the family's 1533-position model. Lineage: Bacteria; Bacillati; Cyanobacteriota; Cyanophyceae; Oscillatoriales; Oscillatoriaceae. The record is from RNAcentral.
CUGGCGGUAUGCCUAAACAUGUCUCGUCGAACGCACCUUUCGGGGUGAGUGGCGGACGGGUGAGUAACGCGUGAGAAUCUGCCGAAGGGACGGGGAUAACCACGGGAAACGGUGGCUAAUACCGGAUGAGCCGAAAGGUAAAAGAUUUUAUCGCCCUUCGAGGAGCUCGCGUCCGAUUAGCUAGUUGGUGAGGUAAAAGCUCACCAAGGCAGCGAUCGGUAGCUGGUCUGAGAGGAUGAGCAGCCACACUGGGACUGAGACACUGGCCCAGACUCCUACGGGAGGCAGCAGUGGGGAAUUUUCCGCAAUGGGCGCAAGCCUGACGGAGCAAUACCGCGUGAGGGAGGAAGGCUCUUGGGUUGUAAACCUCUUUUCUCAGGGAAGAAGUUCUGACGGUACCUGAGGAAUAAGCAUCGGCUAACUCCGUGCCAGCAGCCGCGGUAAUACGGAGGAUGCAAGCGUUAUCCGGAAUUAUUGGGCGUAAAGCGUCCGCAGGUGGCAUUUCCAGUCUGCUGUCAAGACCAAGGCUCAACCUUGGGCAGGCAGUGGAAACUGAAAUCUAGAGUGCGGUAGGGGUAGGGGGAAUCCCAGUGUAA